Molecule: transfer RNA, 109 nt
Filed under: Cordyceps militaris CM01
Lineage: Eukaryota; Fungi; Ascomycota; Sordariomycetes; Hypocreales; Cordycipitaceae
Rfam family: tRNA
About the family: Transfer RNA (tRNA) molecules are approximately 80 nucleotides in length. Their secondary structure includes four short double-helical elements and three loops (D, anti-codon, and T loops). Further hydrogen bonds mediate the characteristic L-shaped molecular structure. tRNAs have two regions of fundamental functional importance: the anti-codon, which is responsible for specific mRNA codon recognition, and the 3' end, to which the tRNAs corresponding amino acid is attached (by aminoacyl-tRNA synthetases). tRNAs cope with the degeneracy of the genetic code in two manners: having more than one tRNA (with a specific anti-codon) for a particular amino acid; and 'wobble' base-pairing, i.e. permitting non-standard base-pairing at the 3rd anti-codon position.
Source: Rfam by way of RNAcentral
GUCCCCGUUGCACAGUGGUUAGUGCGUGACUCUUAUAGCUAACAGCCACUUUGGUUUUGGUUUUAUGAUUUACAUGUCAAGGUCCGGGGUUCGAACCCCCGCGGGAACA